CGGUCGGUAUUCCAAUGUAAGAUACCCUGAUACAAGGGAGACGCGGGUUCGAAUCCCGCCCGACCGU
RNAcentral lists this transfer RNA (67 nucleotides) under Nitrosomonas sp. RNAcentral describes it as "tRNA-OTHER". It matches the Rfam family "tRNA". Rfam says of the family: Transfer RNA (tRNA) molecules are approximately 80 nucleotides in length. Their secondary structure includes four short double-helical elements and three loops (D, anti-codon, and T loops). The record is from RNAcentral. Lineage: Bacteria; Pseudomonadati; Pseudomonadota; Betaproteobacteria; Nitrosomonadales; Nitrosomonadaceae.